GACGAACGCUGGCGGCGUGCCUAAUACAUGCAAGUCGAGCGCAGGAAGUCAUCCGAACCCUUCGGGGGGACGUUGACGGAAUGAGCGGCGGACGGGUGAGUAACACGUAAAGAACCUGCCCUCAGGUCUGGGAUAACCACGAGAAAUCGGGGCUAAUACCGGAUGGGUCAUCGGACCGCAUGGUCCGAGGAUGAAAGGCGCUCCGGCGUCACCUGGGGAUGGCUUUGCGGUGCAUUAGCUAGUUGGUGGGGUAAUGGCCCACCAAGGCGACGAUGCAUAGCCGACCUGAGAGGGUGAUCGGCCACACUGGGACUGAGACACGGCCCAGACUCCUACGGGAGGCAGCAGUAGGGAAUCUUCCACAAUGGACGAAAGUCUGAUGGAGCAACGCCGCGUGAACGAUGAAGGCCCUCGGGUCGUAAAGUUCUGUUGUAAGGGAAGAACAAGUGCCGCAGGCAAUGGCGGCACCUUGACGGUACCUUGCGAGAAAGCCACGGCUAACUACGUG
This 508-nucleotide ribosomal RNA is filed under the name uncultured bacterium. Its description in RNAcentral is "partial 16S ribosomal RNA". It matches the Rfam family "Bacterial small subunit ribosomal RNA", at positions 28 to 507 of the family's 1533-position model. The record is from RNAcentral.